Molecule: ribosomal RNA, 441 nt
Filed under: uncultured bacterium
Lineage: Bacteria
Description: partial 16S ribosomal RNA
Rfam family: Bacterial small subunit ribosomal RNA
Source: RNAcentral
CUACGGGGUGCAGCAGUAGGGAAUCUUGCACAAUCGACGAAAGUCUGAUGCAGCAACGCCGCGUGUGCGAUGAAGGCCUUCGGGUUGUAAAGCACUUUUCUGAGGGAAGAGAAAGGACGGUACCUCAGGAAUAAGUCUCGGCUAACUACGUGCCAGCAGCCGCGGUAAGUACGUAGGAGGCAAGCGUUAUCCGGAUUUAUUGGGCGUAAAGAGCGUGCAGGUGGUUUGGUAAGUUGGGUAUGAAAUCUCCUGGCUUAACUAGGAGAGGUUGCUCAAAACUACCAGACUAGAGAACGGUAGAGGAAGGUGGAAUUCCCGGUGUAGUAGUGAAAUGCGUAGAUAUCGGGAGGAACACCAGUGGCGAAGGCGGCCUUCUGGGCCGUUCCUGACACUAAGACGCGAAAGCAUGGGUAGCAAACGGGAUUAGAUACCCUCGUAGUC